RNAcentral lists this ribosomal RNA (253 nucleotides) under uncultured bacterium. RNAcentral describes it as "partial 16S ribosomal RNA". It matches the Rfam family "Bacterial small subunit ribosomal RNA", at positions 524 to 776 of the family's 1533-position model. The record is from RNAcentral.
UACGAAGGGGGCUAGCGUUGCUCGGAAUCACUGGGCGUAAAGGGUGCGUAGGCGGGUCUUUAAGUCAGGGAUGAAAUCCUGGAGCUCAACUCCAGAACUGCCUUUGAUACUGAGGAUCUUGAGUUCGGGAGAGGUGAGUGGAACUGCGAGUGUAGAGGUGAAAUUCGUAGAUAUUCGCAAGAACACCAGUGGCGAAGGCGGCUCACUGGCCCGAUACUGACGCUGAGGCACGAAAGCGUGAAAAGCAAACAGG